Molecule: ribosomal RNA, 253 nt
Filed under: uncultured bacterium
Lineage: Bacteria
Description: partial 16S ribosomal RNA
Rfam family: Bacterial small subunit ribosomal RNA
Source: RNAcentral
UACAGAGGGGGCAAGCGUUGUUCGGAAUUACUGGGCGUAAAGGGCGCGUAGGCGGCCUUCUAAGUCGAACGUGAAAUCCCCGGGCUCAACCCGGGAACUGCGUCCGAUACUGGAAGGCUUGAAUCCGGGAGAGGGAUGCGGAAUUCCAGGUGUAGCGGUGAAAUGCGUAGAUAUCUGGAGGAACACCGGUGGCGAAGGCGGCCCACUGGUCCGGUACUGACGCUGAGGUGCGAAAGCGUGGGGAGCAAACAGG